Molecule: ribosomal RNA, 457 nt
Filed under: uncultured Thiobacillus sp.
Lineage: Bacteria; Pseudomonadati; Pseudomonadota; Betaproteobacteria; Nitrosomonadales; Thiobacillaceae
Description: bacterial SSU rRNA
Rfam family: Bacterial small subunit ribosomal RNA
Source: RNAcentral
GGGCUGCAGUGGGGAAUUUUGGACAAUGGGCGCAAGCCUGAUCCAGCCAUGCCGCGUGAGUGAAGAAGGCCUUCGGGUUGUAAAGCUCUUUCAGACGGAAAGAAACGGCCACGGCUAAUACCCGUGGCUAAUGACGGUACCGUCAGAAGAAGCACCGGCUAACUACGUGCCAGCAGCCGCGGUAAUACGUAGGGUGCGAGCGUUAAUCGGAAUUACUGGGCGUAAAGCGUGCGCAGGCGGAUUGUUAAGCAAGAUGUGAAAUCCCCGGGCUUAACCUGGGAAUGGCAUUUUGAACUGGCAGUCUAGAGUGUGUCAGAGGGGGGUGGAAUUCCACGUGUAGCAGUGAAAUGCGUAGAGAUGUGGAGGAACACCGAUGGCGAAGGCAGCCCCCUGGGUCAACACUGACGCUCAUGCACGAAAGCGUGGGGAGCAAACAGGAUUAGAUACCCGGGUAGUC